This is an RNA transcript of Humulus lupulus (European hop), 1161 nucleotides long. RefSeq lists it as uncharacterized. Lineage: Eukaryota; Viridiplantae; Streptophyta; Magnoliopsida; Rosales; Cannabaceae. The record is from RefSeq and is a predicted model, not a curated record. The transcript is spliced from 6 exons.
UCAAACCAGCUGUCUCUCCCUGUUUUUCAAUUCCACAUCUUUCUUUCUGUCUGCUACUACCACUGUUUGUACGGCCACUGUCGCAUCUAUGGCGAUGACCCAGAGCGCGGCGGAGGCUUGUAGCCCGGUGGUCUUGAAGACGGGCCUCACCGUCAUCGCUCUCUGCAUUGCCGGCUACAUUCUUGGCCCCCCUCUUUACUGGCAUUUCAUGGAGGGUUUGGCCGCUGUUAGCCAAUCUUCUUCCUCUUCUACUUGCCCCCCUUGUGUCUGCGAUUGCUCUUCUCAGCCUCUCCUUUCCAUCCCCAUCGGACUGAGCAACACUUCCUUUACAGCACAUGGGGAAAAAAAUGCUCUGAAAUAGGCGUGGGGUUUGAGCUGGGCAGGCGGCUUCAGUGGCGUCUCCAGCAUGUGGCUUGCGUGGGCCCGGGUGAAGUGCAGCAGGAAGGAGAAACUGGGCCCAAGGGACAGAGCUGGGCCGUGAGGUGGUAGUGGCGUGGGCGUAGGUGUGGGCAGCUGGGCUUCUAACUUCAAAACCGACUACAGAGUAAUCGACUUACCACCUUUAAUCCUUCAUCACAGUCCACACCCACGCCAUCUCUUCGCCGUCUUCCUUCGUCGAUCACCUGUGCUCUUUUUCUCCUUCGUUGCUUCAUCAGAUAUUUGAGAUUAUGAUGAUAGAGCCCACUUGAAUUAGUAAAAAUUGAAGUAAUAUGUGGCAUCAGAAGUUCAUGAUUUAAGCCAUUGGAUCUUUUCAAGUGAGAGACUUCUAAGUCAAAAUACGAUAUCAAUGAGUAUCAUUUAUUUUACUUGUUAUUUAUUUUCAUUUUGGUUUAUUUAAUAUUUAAGUAACAUUUUUUUAAUGUUUAAUAAACUGAUUGGUUUAGUUCAAAUUUUGAAACAAUGUUUAUUUUUUUAGUUAUUUUAAAAUAAAUAAAAAAGUCUAAGUAAAACAUAACCGACUAUAAAAUUCUAAAUGAGCAAAUUUAUGGAUCUAUAUGUAUUAAAUAUAUAUUUAUUGAGAGGGUGAUAUUGUUAAAUGGGCAUGCUAUGAAUGAGUUUAGUUUCCAAUAAAUAUUUUUUUGCAAGAUGUUAAAGAGUUGGGAUAAGUUAUGAUUAGUUCAAUUCAUCUGAAUAUCCAAAGUAACAUUUUAUAUAUUUGUG